AUUGAACGCUGGCGGCAUGCUUUACACAUGCAAGUCGAACGGUAACAGGCCGCAAGGUGCUGACGAGUGGCGAACGGGUGAGUAAUGCAUCGGAACGUGCCCAGUCGUGGGGGAUAACUACUCGAAAGAGUAGCUAAUACCGCAUACGAUCUAUGGAUGAAAGCGGGGGACCGUAAGGCCUCGCGCGAUUGGAGCGGCCGAUGUCAGAUUAGGUAGUUGGUGGGGUAAAGGCUCACCAAGCCAACGAUCUGUAGCUGGUCUGAGAGGACGACCAGCCACACUGGGUCUGAGACACGGCCCAGACUCCUACGGGAGGCAGCAGUGGGGAAUUUUGGACAAUGGGCGCAAGCCUGAUCCAGCAAUGCCGCGUGCAGGAAGAAGGCCUUCGGGUUGUAAACUGCUUUUGUACGGAACGAAACGGCUCUGGUUAAUACCCGGGGCUAAUGACGGUACCGUAAGAAUAAGCACCGGCUAACUACGUG
This 482-nucleotide ribosomal RNA is filed under the name uncultured bacterium. Its description in RNAcentral is "partial 16S ribosomal RNA". It matches the Rfam family "Bacterial small subunit ribosomal RNA", at positions 30 to 507 of the family's 1533-position model. The record is from RNAcentral.